AGAAGCAGCAGAUAUGUUAGGAAUAUUGCACAGCCUUGUAAUCUUAGUACUCUUAACUGCAAUUGAUAAUAUAAGAUGAAACAAUGCCUGUCUGAUGAGAGGAAGUUAAGUGACAAAGUCUCUGUGACAUAACAGGCUACUCCGUAAAGGUUACUUGAACACAAGCACUACGAUAAUGUCACAACUGACCUGCUAACAGAGACUGCUAGCAAAUGACCACUGGGCGGAUAACACAUACAGUACUGAUACACGGAGCAGUGAGAUAUCCCAUGCUUCUGGCAGGACUCAGCAAGAUAGGAAAUGUCUGGAAUGACAGUAACUUGUUUGGGCUGCCAUCAUGAAGCUAGACUUCAUUUAUCAUUAACUUUAUUUUUGGGCUGCAAUCCCUAAUUCUACUGAGAUAUAGAAGAGACACAGGAGGCAGAAGCCACAGAGAAAAAACACCAAAAGGCUUCAAGUACACUGUGAUCGUCUAUUCAAGUCUUUCUCUGUUGAUAAAGUUUUCCAAAAUCAUAAUAGAAGAAUCUCAAAAUAGUGACAAAACAGUAACCUUCUUUGUUGAUUAGCUAACCUGGCUUCUGCGGAGAUUAGAUUCUGGGCUGUGUGUCUGAAACAUUGUCUACUAUCCUGGCCUUGUAUUCUUAUCAAUAACAAAAAUAUUAUUUCCAGCCACCUAUCUCUU
RNAcentral lists this long non-coding RNA (682 nucleotides) under Chinchilla lanigera (long-tailed chinchilla). RNAcentral's name for it is "lncRNA (ENSCLAG00000027033.1)". The record is from RNAcentral. Lineage: Eukaryota; Metazoa; Chordata; Mammalia; Rodentia; Chinchillidae.